This 727-nucleotide ribosomal RNA is filed under the name uncultured bacterium. RNAcentral describes it as "bacterial SSU rRNA". It matches the Rfam family "Bacterial small subunit ribosomal RNA", at positions 28 to 786 of the family's 1533-position model. The record is from RNAcentral.
GAUGAACGCUGGCGGCGUGCCUAACACAUGCAAGUCGAGCGAACCCUUCGGGGUGAGCGGCGGACGGGUGAGUAACGCGUGGGUAACCUGCCCUGUACACACGGAUAACAUACCGAAAGGUAUGCUAAUACGGGAUAACAUAAUAAAAUCGCAUGGUUUUGUUAUCAAAGCUGAGGCGGUACAGGAUGGACCCGCGUCUGAUUAGCUAGUUGGUAAGGUAAAGGCUUACCAAGGCGACGAUCAGUAGCCGACCUGAGAGGGUGAUCGGCCACAUUGGAACUGAGACACGGUCCAAACUCCUACGGGAGGCAGCAGUGGGGAAUAUUGCACAAUGGGCGAAAGCCUGAUGCAGCAACGCCGCGUGAGCGAUGAAGGCCUUCGGGUCGUAAAGCUCUGUCCUCAAGGAAGAUAAUGACGGUACUUGAGGAGGAAGCCCCGGCUAACUACGUGCCAGCAGCCGCGGUAAUACGUAGGGGGCUAGCGUUAUCCGGAAUUACUGGGCGUAAAGGGUGCGUAGGCGGUCUUUCAAGUCAGGAGUGAAAGGCUACGGCUCAACCGUAGUAAGCUCUUGAAACUGUAAGACUUGAGUGCAGGAGAGGAGAGUGGAAUUCCUAGUGUAGCGGUGAAAUGCGUAGAUAUUAGGAGGAACACCAGUUGCGAAGGCGGCUCUCUGGACUGUACUGACGCUGAGGCACGAAAGCGUGGGGAGCAAACAGGAUUAGAUACC